GACGAACGCUGGCGGCGUGCUUAACACAUGCAAGUCGAACGGAAAGGCCCUGCUUUUGUGGGGUGCUCGAGUGGCGAACGGGUGAGUAACACGUGAGUAACCUGCCCUUGACUUUGGGAUAACUUCAGGAAACUGGGGCUAAUACCGGAUAGGAGCUCCUGCUGCUUGGUGGGGGUUGGAAAGUUUCGGCGGUUGGGGAUGGACUCGCGGCUUAUCAGCUUGUUGGUGGGGUAGUGGCUUACCAAGGCUUUGACGGGUAGCCGGCCUGAGAGGGUGACCGGCCACACUGGGACUGAGAUACGGCCCAGACUCAUACGGGAGGCAGGAGUGGGGAAGAUUGCACAGUGGGCGGAAGCAUGACGCAGCAACGCCGCGUGCGGGGUGAGGGGCUUCGGGUUGUAAACCGCUUUUGUUUGUGACGAAGCGUUAGUGACGGUAAUGGGUAAAGAAGCACCGGCUAACUACGUG
Molecule: ribosomal RNA, 468 nt
Filed under: uncultured bacterium
Lineage: Bacteria
Description: partial 16S ribosomal RNA
Rfam family: Bacterial small subunit ribosomal RNA
Source: RNAcentral